This 407-nucleotide long non-coding RNA is filed under the name Mytilus galloprovincialis (Mediterranean mussel). Lineage: Eukaryota; Metazoa; Mollusca; Bivalvia; Mytilida; Mytilidae. The record is from RNAcentral.
UGAAAACUUGAUACGUGUAUCUUGUACAUUUUGUCCAAAACAAAUUGUUAUUCGAAUGUACACUAGCCUAACAUGACAUGUAUUUAGAGUCAUGACACGCUUUUGGUCAUGGAUGCUAUUUUUUAUGAAUUACAAUAAGAGAGCAGAAAGAGGGACAUUCAAACUCAUAGAUCGACAAUUUACUGACCAUGCUAUAGCUUAUAAAGAAAAAGAAAAACAAACAAAUAAUAGUACACAAGACGCAACAUAAAAAACUAUAGACUAAUCAACACGAACCCCACGAAAACUUGGGGUGAUCUCAGGUACUCCGAAAGACUAAGCAGAUCCUUUUCCACAUUUUGCAACGCCUGGCUAAAAAUGAAAGCAGACAAGAGACAAACCGUCGUGUUGCUCAUGUUAUUACAAAC